CUUCCGCCCGCCCCAUCAGCGCGCACGCGGCUACCGAGCUGGAGGAGGCAGCGGGCGUGAGACCGGGAAUGCGCAGGGCCCCCGCCUCGCCCCCCAAGCCCGGGCCGCGGCCCCCGCCUUCCCCGCAGCCGUCCGGCACUCGGUGCCCGACCCCCGAGGCCGGCGGCUGCUCCCACCCGGGGCCGUUGCUGCUUGUGCCGUGAGCGCCGCCCCGCCAUUGUCCCCGUCGCUCCGUCAGCUGCGCCAGGCGGCGCACCAGGAGGCGAGGGUGCGCAUGGGGAGCCUCCGUUGAUGCCGCCGCCGCCGCCGCGCCGCCCUCCGAGGCUGCGUCCCGGGAAGCCCGGCUCCCCAAUCGCUUCGGCCUGGCCCGGUGCCCCGGACCUGAGUGCGUCCCCAUGGAGGCGCCCGGGCUGGCCCAGGCGGCCGCGGCGGAGAGCGACCCCCGCAAGGUGGCGGAGGAGACCCCCGACGGGGCGCCCGCGCUCUGCCCCAGCCCCGAGGCGCGGUCGCCGGAGCCGCCUGCCUACCGCCUGCAGGACUUUGACACGCUGGCCACCGUGGGCACUGGGACGUUCGGGCGGGUGCACCUGGUGAAGGAGAAGACAGCCAAGCAUUUCUUCGCUCUCAAGGUGAUGAGCAUUCCCGAUGUCAUCCGCCUGAAGCAGGAGCAGCACGUGCACAAUGAGAAGUCUGUCCUGAAGGAAGUCAGUCACCCGUUCCUCAUCAGGCUGUUCUGGACGUGGCAUGACGAGCGCUUCCUCUACAUGCUCAUGGAGUACGUGCCGGGUGGGGAGCUCUUCAGCUACCUGCGAAACCGGGGGCGCUUCUCCAGCACCACGGGGCUCUUCUACUCUGCGGAGAUCAUCUGUGCCAUCGAGUACCUGCACUCCAAGGAGAUCGUCUACAGAGACUUGAAGCCAGAGAACAUCCUGCUGGAUAGGGAUGGCCACAUCAAGCUCACGGACUUUGGGUUCGCCAAGAAGCUGGUAGACAGGACUUGGACCCUCUGUGGAACACCCGAGUACCUGGCCCCGGAAGUCAUUCAGAGCAAGGGCCACGGCAGGGCUGUGGACUGGUGGGCCCUCGGCAUCCUGAUAUUCGAGAUGCUGUCGGGGUUUCCUCCGUUUUUUGAUGACAACCCGUUUGGCAUUUAUCAGAAAAUUCUUGCAGGCAAAAUAGAUUUCCCCAGACAUUUGGAUUUCCAUGUAAAAGACCUCAUUAAGAAACUGCUCGUGGUUGACCGAACAAGGCGAUUAGGAAACAUGAAGAACGGGGCAAAUGAUGUGAAACGCCAUCGAUGGUUCCAUUCUGUGGACUGGGAAGCUGUUCCGCAGAGAAAACUGAAGCCUCCCAUCGUGCCCAAGAUAGCUGGCGACGGCGACACUUCCAACUUCGAAACUUACCCCGAGAAUGACUGGGACACAGCCACGCCUGUGCCGCAGAAGGAUUUAGAAAUCUUCAAGAAUUUCUGAGGACAGGAGCUCACAUCUGGAAGAGGUCAGCGGUGAAGCAGAGCAAAGGAGAAUGAUUCCAAGGGUCAGUGACAUAAACACAGCCAUGCCUGUGACUCCAGGUCAGCAUGUGGUCGGAGGCAUCAGCAUCACAGUCCAGAAUCCAUCUUCUGCCUCAGAACCUGCACGUCUAAAUAAGACCCCUGGGUGGUUUGUGCGUCCCUGAACAUUUGAGAAGCCCAGCUCUUCUGGUCCCUGUUCCAGAAACCUCUUCCCAGUUAUGUGAAGUGGAAAGCCAGUUGGCUAACCAACACCAUUUGAAACAGACACCAAAUGUCACAGUUGCUGAUUGGGGAGAGGAACCAACCUGCUGAAAGACGGGGUGAAUGAGAGCCCUCCAUCCUGGAAACAGGAAGAUUGGAAUCAGCCUGGAACAAAGAACUGCACCUAAGCAGACCAGAAGUAAAAUGUCUUCUUCACGGCAUAAGGACAUUUCCACUUUUCUGUGUACCUGUGUGUAUAGAAAUAGAUCAGAGCACAGUUGAAAUUAAUGGAACUGGCAUUAUUUAAGCAACUGGAAUUCCACACUGUAGGAAGGUUUUGAAAAUUGUUUGGUUGUAGAUUUUAUCUUAUCCUUUAGUGUUGUGUGCCUACUGUGAUGUCUCGGUUUUUCUCAUAGACUUAAGUUUAUAAGUUUGAACUGGACUUGUUCGAUUAUAACCACAAAUUGUUGUGUGUGUGUGUGUAUGCCUGUGUGUAUAUAUAGAAGUCAUUAUGGUAGAUGCACAGAAAUUGUGCAGUGAUGUAAAUGUUCAUACUUCACAGAGCCUAUAAUUUUUAUUUUUCAAUUUGUUUUUUCAAAAAUCUCUUCUCGGGGACAACAUCUGAAGGGUAUGUUGCAUGCAUUAAAAAAAAUCAUCUCACAUGUAUUUUAUAGUUUGGGGGAAGAAAAUAUCAUGGGGAGAUCUCCCUUCAGUAUCUUUAGUGCUUCCUACCUGGUAACUUGAGAUUUUAAAAGAAGAAACAAAGAGAAGAAGAUAUGGGAGCGACUUUAUUCCAGGAAUCUACAAUGACAUUGAAGUUGUUGGAGGAAUGUACUGUAUUUAAAACAACCUUCUGUGACACAUUCAACAAUUUCAUCUGAGCUGGGUGCAGUGGCUUGUUCCUGUAGUCCCAGCACUUUGGGAGGCUGAGGUGGGUGGAUUGCUUGAGCCCAGGAGUUGGAGACCAGUCUGGGAAACAUGGUGAGACCUCAUGUCUACAAAAUACAAAAAAAUUAGCCGGGCAUGGUGGCACGUGAAUGUAGUCUCAGCUACUCAGGAGGCUGAGAUGAGAGGAUCACUUGAAUCCAGGGGGGUCCAGGCUGCAGUGAUCCGAGAUCACACCACUGCACUCCAGCCUCGGUGACAGAGUGAGACCCUGUCCAGGAAAAAAAAAAGAAGAAAAAAAAAGGCAAUGGCUUUGUGCUUUCGAAGGUGGAAUGAAGAGAACGUCCACCUUAAGGCUUUAAAAGACAGUGAAGCUGGGUACAGUGACGCACUCCUGUAAACCUGGGACUUUGGGAAGCUGAGGCAGGAAGAUCGCUUGAGCCUAGGAGUUCGAGACCGGCCUGGGCAGCAUAGCGAGUCCUCAUCUCUAUAAAAAGAAAAAAAAAAUGUUAAAACACAGUGAAAUUGCAGAAACAGAACACAGCUGCCCUUUUUCAUCAAUGACCUUUUCUUCAUGUGGAGGUCAACUCAGUAGGUGAGAAUAAUUAGUAGGUUCAGUAGAAUAAACUCUUUACAAUUAAUCAGUCAGUGGAAAAUGAUGUUCAGAUGGUGAAAUGUGGAAAUGUUUUAGACAACUGUAUUUUCAGCCUGUGCGUCUCACUCACCAUCUUGUUGGGAUUAACAGUUGAGGGCCAUCAUUGUCUCAACAUUUAGCAUGCAGUUUCCCAUCAGUUUUACCGUGAAUGUGAAAAGGUGAAACUGGUGCUGACCUCGGCAGCAGGUAUACUAAAAUUGGAAUGACACAGAGGAGAUUAGCAUGGCUCCCUUUGCAAGGAAGAUCCGUAUAUUCAUGCAGCAUUCCAAAUUCUUUUUUUUAAAAAGGUUACACUGUGCACUGAGAUGUGGAGCUAGAAGGAAAAGCAUUAGGUCUCAUGUUUGCUGACUAUACAAAUAAAUCAGUAAUAUUAUUGAACAUUCUACUUUAAAAAUUAUUAAUAAAACCGUAAAUGAAACCCUUGAGCACAUUUUAAAAAGUACAUAGACCCAUGAGUCCAUAUGCCUAUUUUUAGGUUGUCUGUUUUAUUAUCCAGGAUUUCAUACUCAGAUGAAAAUUAGUAUCAGGAAAGCCUGAAAUGCCUUAAUUGUGAACUGAUAUGCAGGAAAAUGAAAUAUGCAAGCACAUUGAUGACCUCGUUCUUUACGGACAUUGUUAGCAGCCUCUAGCCAUGCAGAACAAAUGAGAAAUUAGAAGCAAUUCCAAGAACGUGUGAUGGUGUGAAAGCCACUUUUGACCGGCGCGCACAUUUCAGCGUUUGAAGUGACACGGGCUGCCUGGUAACUGCCCAUGGCGGGGUCAUAGUUUAAAUGGCCCAAUGUCAGGCAGAGGUUAAUUUAAUCAACAUGAGCUAUAAACAUGGAACAAUCACUAUGUAUAAUUUUAAAAUAGUUUACCUGGCCAGGCAUGGUGGCUCACGCCUGGAAUCCCAGCACUUUGGGAGGCUGAGGUGGGCGGAUCACCUGAGGUCAGGAGUUCGAGACCAGCCUGGCCAACAUGGCGAAACCCCUGUCUCUACUAAAAUACAGAAAUUAGGUGUGGGGGUGCCUGUAAUCUUGGCUACUUGGGAGGCUGAAGCAGGAGAAUGGCUUGAACCCGGGAGGCGACGCUGCAGUGAACCGAGAUUGUGCCACUGCCCUCUAGCCUGGGCGACAGAGCGAGACUCCAUCUCAAAAAAAAGAAAAAAAAUAGUUGACCUGGGUGGUCAUUCCAAAAUUUUCUCAUAGAUGAUCAUGUGAAACAAUCACCGUGCAAAAUGUGGAGGAAAAUUCAUUACAAUAAUCACAAAAUUUGUAUCAGAAAAACAUUACAAAUUUACUUCAUGUAAUUUUAUGAGUUGGCAGUAUUUUCUUAAAUUGGAAUACUAUAAGAGAAUAUCUUUAGGAAAUGGAUAUGUUACAACAAGAAGUAUAUUGGGGCAAGUCUUGUUUUUCUGAAGGGAAAUGCCACCAGCCUGCUUUCAUAGGCAUUGAUAAAGCCAGGAAGGAAAUAAAAUCACAACCGAAUAGUAUACACUGUAUCUACUGAAUUCUUCUAAUUCCUUUGCAACAGAAGUCUAAAUGCUGCUUAGCCUAAACGUAUCUAUAGCCAGUGAUGGGCAAAUUCUAUUUGCUGUCAGCAUGAUAGAAUAAGAAGCAGAAAUCCCCCAGCAGUGGGGUAAGAUUGCGCGCUUCGUCCCCUCACAAUGCUGUUCAGCCCCACUCCCCUCUCCAUGCCCAUCAAACAACUGCACAGUCACUUGUUAGUGAAUUUCUCAUUCAGCGUUUUGUUUCUUUCUGUCCACACUUAAAGACCAAAUCAUUUGUUUGCUUUGAAGAAAAAGCAAACACAAGAACAAAAACACCAAAUCAUUUGAAAUCACUGCUCAUUAAAAAAAAUCACUGGUGGAACCAAACAGUUGAGUGGUUUGUGAUGUGUUCGCCAUUUCUGUGUUUGACCUACGUGGCCUCUAGUUCUUUGGACCAUUGUAACUGUGAAACUAUGGCUUAAUACUGUUAAAGACCCCAAGGCUCAACUCUGUAGCCAGGGUGCACCUCAGGCUGCACAAAUACCACACCAGAAUGUCAUAGUCAUUCAUGGCUCCACCUACUGAGUGAACAGAGUGCAAGACAGCACUGGCUUGGGUUUUACUUUUGUAGCCAGUUAACUUUGCAUCAGGUCUGCACAGUCCUUGCAGCCUUUGAUUUCUCCAGUUGUAGAGAUUUGAAAUGGGGUGCCCGGGUUCCUCUCAUUUUUCCUUCAAUCUACCUAGCAUGCAUUUUACACACAUUGGAUGAGUCGUAUGCACUGUUUUUUUCUCUUGCUGACGGAGGCAAGAAGGCCUUCUAAUUAGUCUAACUUAAAGGGAUGGGAUUCACUUAACAAAAGCAAGAAGAAAAGCACAUGAACAGGUGUCUUAAUGCAUUUCGAUAGUUUCUUGGUGGAGGGGGUGUGUGUCUUGGUGAAGGUGGGCGGUCUAUAUUUUCACCAAGCCUUUUCAUAAUCAAGUUUGCUUUGCAAACCUUAUGGCCUUGCACCCCGCAGAAGAGUCCUUCCUAAUAACAGGGGAAUGCCCUGUCAGGUUCUCUGUAAAUUACUGUGUGUUGGGAAGUUCUGUUGAGGCUUAGUUUGAUCUUCCGUGGUGGACACGUCUGUUUUGUAUGGAAAAGGCAUUACAAUUGUGUUUUAGCGGAUGGGAUUUGAAGCCGUUCCACAGUCCUUAUCCUGUGAGAUGGCUGUUGAGCUCUGCUCAGCUGUUGUAGCUGAAUUCUUGUUUUGCGCUGAACAUUGGGCAGCCUCACUAUGUUGCCACCAUGCUUCUGGGGCCCCCGUGACUGCCGCCGGAUGCCGCGCACACAGGCAGAGUGCCUUUGCAGGUUUGUGCACCCCUUGGCGAGCCAGAACUGGGAACCCCGCGGGGUGACCCCACCUUCUCAUGGGGGGUCGGGGAGGGGAGUGCCUAUUUUUAAUCCUGUCUGUUGCACAAUGGAAAUCACUGUGAUUUGCACAUAUGCCCUAGGAAAAUUUUACUGCUGUCUAAUUUAUGUAAUAAUACUGUUGAUUCCAGGUUUGUUUAAUAAAACUUUUUAUCUUUUCAGAA
RNA transcript from Rhinopithecus roxellana (golden snub-nosed monkey), 6294 nucleotides. It is a transcript of the gene named protein kinase X-linked, with no coding region annotated. The transcript has 11 exons. NCBI's taxonomy places the organism in Eukaryota, Metazoa, Chordata, Mammalia, Primates, Cercopithecidae. The record is from RefSeq and is a predicted model, not a curated record.